UAUGAAGGGGGCAAGCGUUGUUCGGAAUUACUGGGCGUAAAGGGCGCGUAGGCGGCUUACCAAGUCAGGCGUGAAAUUCCCGGGCUCAACCUGGGGGCUGCGCUUGAUACUGGUGAGCUUGAAUGCGGGAGAGGAUAGUGGAAUUCCCAGUGUAGAGGUGAAAUUCGUAGAUAUUGGGAAGAACACCGGUGGCGAAGGCGGCUAUCUGGCCCGUAAUUGACGCUGAGGCGCGAAAGCGUGGGGAGCAAACAGG
This 253-nucleotide ribosomal RNA is filed under the name uncultured bacterium. Its description in RNAcentral is "partial 16S ribosomal RNA". It matches the Rfam family "Bacterial small subunit ribosomal RNA", at positions 524 to 776 of the family's 1533-position model. The record is from RNAcentral.